This is an RNA transcript of Magnolia sinica, 2078 nucleotides long. RefSeq lists it as uncharacterized. The record is from RefSeq and is a predicted model, not a curated record. The transcript has 11 exons. Lineage: Eukaryota; Viridiplantae; Streptophyta; Magnoliopsida; Magnoliales; Magnoliaceae.
CCUCUCUGGUCUCUCCACUAUCAUUAUUUAUUAAUUACUGGAAAAAAAAAGACAGCUGAUAGAGGGAAUGGAAGGCGAAGCAGGCUCUAAUGGCGUCGUAGAAGAGCCCUCUCAUUCUCCCAACAUGAAUGGGGCUUCCACCAGCGUUCGAGAAAAGGGAGUCGGGGACCACUUUGUGCUGUGCCUAGCGUUUGAGCUCCACACCACUUGCAAGACAAGACUCUCUCUCAUAAGGAGCCAUAUGACCUCCAUUUAUUGGGAGGGUUCAAAGUGCACCCAUCGGGAGGGCUGUAAUCUUUUGGCUGAUUAUCAAAGCUUGGAGGUCACAAACAAAGAAGUUUUACAUACAGAACAUAGUGGGAAGCGAACAAAUCUCUCACUUCAAAUACCCCUAAGGCCUGUAGACUUCAACGGUAGUCAUAAUGGGAAAGGUUCCGCUAAAGGUGGUUCAUCUACUAGAGGCAUCUUGCGUGGAGUGAGCUUCCAGAACCAGGCUGAUUACCAAAGCUUGGAGCCGACAGACAAAGGAAUUAUACAUUCAGAACAUGGUGGGAAGCGAACAGAUCUCUCAGUUCAAAUACCCCCAAGACAUGCAGACUUAAGUGGUAGCCGUGGUGGGAAAGGUUCCUCUAGAGGUAGUUCAUCUGCAAGAGGCAUCUUGCGUGGCCCAAGCUUCAAGAACCAGGUACCCGUACUUGAUGAGAGAAGCUCCCUCCUUGAUUCAGAUCUUGCUGCAAGAGCAGGCCCCACGGUGGUCUCUGAGAAAGCCAGUCUGGCAACUUCUAUUGCAUCUCUCACAUGGAAAAGAUGUGUGUCACUUCCUAUUAGACAGGAAUCAAUCUUGUCCCCUUCAACAUCUAUCUCUGCAAGGGAUAAGGCAUGCAAUGAGCAGCACCCUUCAAAAAAACAGGCAAUACCAGCAAAUGUCCAAAGGUCCUUAUCUAUGCCUCUUCGAAAUGUUGUUAUUUUGAGAUCUAGAUCCUCACCUACCUCAAAAGCGCUCGGACAGACAGAUGCUAGUGAAGAUCUAAUAAGUCCGGCUCAUUUGGGAGAUGGUGAUGAAGAGAUUCCCGAAGAGGAUGCAGUUUGCAGGGUUUGUCUUGACGAUCUGAGCGAGGGGGGAAGUUCACUCCAAUUGGAGUGCAGAUGCAAAGGUGCCCUCAGGCUUAUACACGAAGAAUGUGCAAUGAAAUGGUUUGGCAUUAAAGGCAACAGGAUGUGUGAUGUUUGUGGGGCCGAGAUUCUCAAUUUACCAGUGACUUUGAUUCGGAUGCCAAGUUCUUCUCGAGCUGAUGGUAGACAACAACAUCGCGUAAGACGGCACCCAAAUUCAGCUGUGACCAGGGCCUGGCAGGAUGUGAUGGUGCUCAUGUUGAUUAGCACGAUGUGUUACUUCUUUUUCAUUGAGCAGCUGCUGGUUGGUGACAUGAAAAAUCAAGCGGUCACGGUUGCAGCACCAUUUUCUUUUGUCCUGGGCAUUUUGUCAUCAGUCUUUGCUGUUGUCCAUUCAGGGAGUAUAUUUGGGCAUAUUCAGCUUUUCAGUUUGCUCUUGUGGUCUUGUUCCUCCAUGUCUUCUAUUCUAUGGAUCGAGGAUCUUCCCUUUCCAUCUCGUUCAGAAGAAGAAGCUUUGUACCUGGAAAGACCAGUGGACCUAGAAGAGAUUAAAGCUGCAGUCUGGGACUUAGGGAGUGACAAAGCUCCUAGGCCUGAUGGCUUCCCAUAGCAUUCUUUAAAUCCUUUUGGGAUUUGUUUAAGGAAGACCUUCAUUUUGUGAUGGAGUUGUUCGAGCAAAAGGAAUUGUCUUCUAAAUUGGGGUGCACUUUCCUGGCCUUGAUUCCCAAAGUGGAAGGAGCUCAGAACAUUAAAGACUUCCAUCCCAUUAGUCUGAUAGGCAGCCUGUAAAUUCUAUCCAAGGUUCUAGCCCAGAGAAUCAGACAGGUGAUAGCUAAGAUUCAAAUCAGAGCAAUCUAUGCCAUACUGUUUUCGUCAUUUGCUGGCCUCGGAGCUGCAUUGGCCAUCAAUGCAUUGUUUCUUCUUGUUCUUGCUAGAAGAGCUCAGCUUAUUCGGACACAACGGAU